This 254-nucleotide ribosomal RNA is filed under the name uncultured bacterium. RNAcentral describes it as "partial 16S ribosomal RNA". It matches the Rfam family "Bacterial small subunit ribosomal RNA", at positions 524 to 776 of the family's 1533-position model. The record is from RNAcentral.
GACAUAGGUGGCGAACGUUAUCCGGAAUUAUUGGGCGUAAAGGAUGCGUAGAUGGUAGAGUAAGUUACUGGUUGAUGCCAAACUCAAUUUGACGGAAGCUGGUAAUACUGUUUUGCUAGAGGACAGGAGAGGUUGAUGGAAUUCUGUGUGGAGCGGUGAAAUGCGUUGAUCUACAGAGGAACACCAAAAAAGGCGAAGGCAGUUAACUAUCCUGUUCCUGACAUUGAGGCAUGAAAGCGUGGGGAGCAAACCGG